RNAcentral lists this ribosomal RNA (2762 nucleotides) under Escherichia coli. RNAcentral's name for it is "partial 23S ribosomal RNA". It matches the Rfam family "Bacterial large subunit ribosomal RNA". The record is from RNAcentral. Lineage: Bacteria; Pseudomonadati; Pseudomonadota; Gammaproteobacteria; Enterobacterales; Enterobacteriaceae.
CACACUAUCAUUAACUGAAUCCAUAGGUUAAUGAGGCGAACCGGGGGAACUGAAACAUCUAAGUACCCCGAGGAAAAGAAAUCAACCGAGAUUCCCCCAGUAGCGGCGAGCGAACGGGGAGGAGCCCAGAGCCUGAAUCAGUGUGUGUGUUAGUGGAAGCGUCUGGAAAGGCGCGCGAUACAGGGUGACAGCCCCGUACACAAAAAUGCACAUACUGUGAGCUCGAUGAGUAGGGCGGGACACGUGGUAUCCUGUCUGAAUAUGGGGGGACCAUCCUCCAAGGCUAAAUACUCCUGACUGACCGAUAGUGAACCAGUACCGUGAGGGAAAGGCGAAAAGAACCCCGGCGAGGGGAGUGAAAAAGAACCUGAAACCGUGUACGUACAAGCAGUGGGAGCCUCUUAAUGGGGUGACUGCGUACCUUUUGUAUAAUGGGUCAGCGACUUAUAUUCUGUAGCAAGGUUAACCGAAUAGGGGAGCCGAAGGGAAACCGAGUCUUAACUGGGCGUUAAGUUGCAGGGUAUAGACCCGAAACCCGGUGAUCUAGCCAUGGGCAGGUUGAAGGUUGGGUAACACUAACUGGAGGACCGAACCGACUAAUGUUGAAAAAUUAGCGGAUGACUUGUGGCUGGGGGUGAAAGGCCAAUCAAACCGGGAGAUAGCUGGUUCUCCCCGAAAGCUAUUUAGGUAGCGCCUCGUGAAUUCAUCUCCGGGGGUAGAGCACUGUUUCGGCAAGGGGGUCAUCCCGACUUACCAACCCGAUGCAAACUGCGAAUACCGGAGAAUGUUAUCACGGGAGACACACGGCGGGUGCUAACGUCCGUCGUGAAGAGGGAAACAACCCAGACCGCCAGCUAAGGUCCCAAAGUCAUGGUUAAGUGGGAAACGAUGUGGGAAGGCCCAGACAGCCAGGAUGUUGGCUUAGAAGCAGCCAUCAUUUAAAGAAAGCGUAAUAGCUCACUGGUCGAGUCGGCCUGCGCGGAAGAUGUAACGGGGCUAAACCAUGCACCGAAGCUGCGGCAGCGACACUAUGUGUUGUUGGGUAGGGGAGCGUUCUGUAAGCCUGUGAAGGUGGCCUGUGAGGGUUGCUGGAGGUAUCAGAAGUGCGAAUGCUGACAUAAGUAACGAUAAAGCGGGUGAAAAGCCCGCUCGCCGGAAGACCAAGGGUUCCUGUCCAACGUUAAUCGGGGCAGGGUGAGUCGACCCCUAAGGCGAGGCCGAAAGGCGUAGUCGAUGGGAAACAGGUUAAUAUUCCUGUACUUGGUGUUACUGCGAAGGGGGGACGGAGAAGGCUAUGUUGGCCGGGCGACGGUUGUCCCGGUUUAAGCGUGUAGGCUGGUUUUCCAGGCAAAUCCGGAAAAUCAAGGCUGAGGCGUGAUGACGAGGCACUACGGUGCUGAAGCGACAAAUGCCCUGCUUCCAGGAAAAGCCUCUAAGCAUCAGGUAACAUUAAAUCGUACCCCAAACCGACACAGGUGGUCAGGUAGAGAAUACCAAGGCGCUUGAGAGAACUCGGGUGAAGGAACUAGGCAAAAUGGUGCCGUAACUUCGGGAGAAGGCACGCUGAUAUGUAGGUGAAGCGACUUGCUCGUGGAGCUGAAAUCAGUCGAAGAUACCAGCUGGCUGCAACUGUUUAUUAAAAACACAGCACUGUGCAAACACGAAAGUGGACGUAUACGGUGUGACGCCUGCCCGGUGCCGGAAGGUUAAUUGAUGGGGUUAGCGGCAACGCGAAGCUCUUGAUCGAAGCCCCGGUAAACGGCGGCCGUAACUAUAACGGUCCUAAGGUAGCGAAAUUCCUUGUCGGGUAAGUUCCGACCUGCACGAAUGGCGUAAUGAUGGCCAGGCUGUCUCCACCCGAGACUCAGUGAAAUUGAACUCGCUGUGAAGAUGCAGUGUACCCGCGGCAAGACGGAAAGACCCCGUGAACCUUUACUAUAGCUUGACACUGAACAUUGAGCCUUGAUGUGUAGGAUAGGUGGGAGGCUUUGAAGUGUGGACGCCAGUCUGCAUGGAGCCGACCUUGAAAUACCACCCUUUAAUGUUUGAUGUUCUAACGUGGGCCCGUAAUCCGGGUUGCGGACAGUGUCUGGUGGGUAGUUUGACUGGGGCGGUCUCCUCCUAAAGAGUAACGGAGGAGCACGAAGGUUGGCUAAUCCUGGUCGGACAUCAGGAGGUUAGUGCAAUGGCAUAAGCCAGCUUGACUGCGAGCGUGACGGCGCGAGCAGGUGCGAAAGCAGGUCAUAGUGAUCCGGUGGUUCUGAAUGGAAGGGCCAUCGCUCAACGGAUAAAAGGUACUCCGGGGAUAACAGGCUGAUACCGCCCAAGAGUUCAUAUCGACGGCGGUGUUUGGCACCUCGAUGUCGGCUCAUCACAUCCUGGGGCUGAAGUAGGUCCCAAGGGUAUGGCUGUUCGCCAUUUAAAGUGGUACGCGAGCUGGGUUUAGAACGUCGUGAGACAGUUCGGUCCCUAUCUGCCGUGGGCGCUGGAGAACUGAGGGGGGCUGCUCCUAGUACGAGAGGACCGGAGUGGACGCAUCACUGGUGUUCGGGUUGUCAUGCCAAUGGCACUGCCCGGUAGCUAAAUGCGGAAGAGAUAAGUGCUGAAAGCAUCUAAGCACGAAACUUGCCCCGAGAUGAGUUCUCCCUGACCCUUUAAGGGUCCUGAAGGAACGUUGAAGACGACGACGUUGAUAGGCCGGGUGUGUAAGCGCAGCGAUGCGUUGAGCUAACCGGUACUAAUGAACCGUGAGGCUUAACCUU